ACCCUAAUAGUUUAUUAAAACAUUGGUCUUGUAAACCAAAGAUUGAAGAAUCGUUCUUCUUAGAGUA
This 67-nucleotide transfer RNA is filed under the name Tinamus guttatus (white-throated tinamou). It matches the Rfam family "tRNA". From Rfam's summary of the family: Transfer RNA (tRNA) molecules are approximately 80 nucleotides in length. Their secondary structure includes four short double-helical elements and three loops (D, anti-codon, and T loops). Lineage: Eukaryota; Metazoa; Chordata; Aves; Tinamiformes; Tinamidae. The record is from Rfam by way of RNAcentral.